This 1447-nucleotide ribosomal RNA is filed under the name uncultured prokaryote. RNAcentral's name for it is "partial 16S ribosomal RNA". It matches the Rfam family "Bacterial small subunit ribosomal RNA". The record is from RNAcentral.
AACGCUGGUCGGUAUGCUUAACACAUGCAAGUCGAAACGUUUCUUCGGAAACAAGUAGAGUGGCGGACGGGUGAGUAACGCGUAGGAAUCUGCCUAGUAGUGGGGGACAACUUAGGGAAACUUAAGCUAAUACCGCAUACGCCCUACGGGGGAAAGCAGGGGAUCUUCGGACCUUGCGCUAUUAGAUGAGCCUGCGUCGGAUUAGCUAGUUGGUAGGGUAAAGGCCUACCAAGGCAACGAUCCGUAGCUGGUUUCAGAGGACGAUCAGCCCCAGUGUGACUGAGACACGGCCCAGACUCCUACGGGAGGCAGCAGUGGGGAAUAUUGGACAAUGGGCGCAAGCCUGAUCCAGCAAUACCGCGUGUGUGAAGAAGGCCUGCGGGUUGUAAAGCACUUUCAAUAGAGAAGAAAAGGGAAGUUUAAUACGCUUGGGUCUUGACUUAACCUAUACAAGAAGCACCGGCUAACUCCGUGCCAGCAGCCGCGGUAAUACGGAGGGUGCAAGCGUUAAUCGGAAUUACUGGGCGUAAAGCGUACGUAGGUGGCCUAUCAAGUCAGAUGUGAAAGCCCCGGGCUCAACCUGGGAACUGCAUUUGAAACUGAUUAGCUAGAGUAUAGUAGAGGAUAGUGGAAUUCCGGGUGUAGCGGUGAAAUGCGUAGAGAUCCGGAGGAACACCAGUGGCGAAGGCGGCUAUCUGGACUAAUACUGACACUGAGGUACGAAAGCGUGGGUAGCAAACAGGAUUAGAUACCCUGGUAGUCCACGCCGUAAACGAUGAGAACUAGCCGUUGGGAAUCCUUGAGGUCUGGGUGGCGCAGCUAACGCAUUAAGUUGACCGCCUGGGGAGUACGGCCGCAAGGUUAAAACUCAAAUGAAUUGACGGGGGCCCGCACAAGCGGUGGAGCAUGUGGUUUAAUUCGAUGCAACGCGAAGAACCUUACCUACUCUUGACAUCCACAGAAUUUAGCAGAGAUGCUUUAGUGCCUUCGGGAACUGUGAGACAGGUGCUGCAUGGCUGUCGUCAGCUCGUGUUGUGAAAUGUUGGGUUAAGUCCCGCAACGAGCGCAACCCCUAUCCUUAGUUGCCAGCACGUAAUGUGGGAACUCUAAGGAGACUGCCGGUGACAAACCGGAGGAAGGUGGGGACUACGUCAAGUCAUCAUGGCCCUUACGACCUGGGCUACACACGUGCUACAAUGGUCGGUACAGAGGGUUGCCAAGCCGCGAGGUGGAGCCAAUCCCAGAAAACCGGUCGUAGUCCGGAUUGGAGUCUGCAACUCGACUCCAUGAAGUCGGAAUCGCUAGUAAUCGCGAAUCAGAAUGUCGCGGUGAAUACGUUCCCGGGCCUUGUACACACCGCCCGUCACACCAUGGGAGUAGGUUGCAAAAGAAGUGGGUAGACUAACCUUCGGGAGGUCGCUCACCACUUUGUGAUUCAUGACUGGGG